Canis lupus familiaris (dog) is the source of this 1229-nucleotide long non-coding RNA. RefSeq lists it as uncharacterized. The record is from RefSeq and is a predicted model, not a curated record. The transcript is spliced from 5 exons. Lineage: Eukaryota; Metazoa; Chordata; Mammalia; Carnivora; Canidae.
AUUUGUGGAGUAAGUGAAGAUUUUUUUUUUAAGAUUUUAUUUAUUUAUUCAUGAGAGACACAGAGAGAGAUGCAGAGACAUAGGCAGAGAGAGAAGCAGGCUUCAUGCAGGGAGCCCUAUGAGAGUGAAUGAAGAUUGAAGCUAACUGCUCCUGUCUAGAAGGAGGGCAUCCCAAAAUUGGUGUCCUGAAAGGAUAUCAGUUUCCAAUGUUUGAUUAGUCCAAGAGUAUUAUCAUCAUCAGUGUACUACUAUGGAGGUAAUGAAAGUAGGGAGGGGGAUCGAGAAGCAUUUUCUUCCUCUACCAUCUCCGUUGUCCGUUGAAGGUGUCUAUCUCUGGCAAAUGACAUGUCCCCCGGCGUCCCCUCCACAUUUGCAGACCGAUGUAUAAACAAGCACUGUUACUCGUGUUCUCAAUCAAAAAUCCAGUACACAGCUUCACAGAUGUGGCUGCAACAGCUGGAGAAGUCGGGCUCCCUGGGAGACAGUAGAGAAGUUUAUCCUACUCCCCAACAUCAAAAUGUGGCAAGAACAAGGACAAAUGGGACCACUUAAAAUAAGUGUCAUCUACAUUUAGGGCAAGGUGGCUUUGAUAAAGGGCAAAUGUUUUUAACUGAAGGAGAUAGAAGAAUUCCACUCUUUCUUUUCUGACCUAGCUGCUGAGUUUGGAUGGAUCAGAUGGAUUCUCUAAUGGUUUCACCUAAGUAAGCAAAGCCAUGCUAUCCAUAAAAUGUCAGAAACGAAGAUUGUAGAAGGAGGCCCGCCUGCUUCUUUUCAAAGAGGAGGAGCUGAAGCAUGGAGACUGAGAAAGAACAUGUUAGCAACUAAUGGAAGAGCUGGGAUGAGAACCAAAUCCUUUCAGUUCACCAGAAAGUGCUUACAAACUAUGGAGAUGGUAGCAGGGGCUUCCCAAAGAGUACUUCCCUCAUUCAGGGGACCUGAGCAUUUUCUCCCAAUUUUCUUCCUGCCUAAACACACAGAGGCUUUCUUGAUCUCUCCUCCUCUCUCAAACUCCCUCCUUCCUUUUCUCUUCCAUUCAGUUUCUUUCUCUCUUUCCCUUUCCAUUGCUAACAUUUAUUGAGCACUUAUUAUGUUCCAGGCACUUGGAUCUGCAUUUUCUCACUUAAUCUUCAUGCUAACCCUAUGAGGUAAGCCCAAUAGUUUUUUUUUUAAGAUUUAUUUAUUUAUUAUUUAUUAUUUAUUUAUUUAUUUAUUUAUGAUAGACAUAGAAA